GAUGUCUGGCCUGGCUGGAGGUGGUUGGUCCUUAAGAGACCAGAGAAGACUAUCAGUGCAGUGAUAACAGUUGCCUCACUGUGAGGAAAGAGUCCCCAACCCAUGUAAGGGACCAGCUUGGCCUGGACCUUGUCCUUAUACUGCAGUGAAGCAGUGAGACUCAUAAUUUUGUUCUGGGAGUGUUAGUUUGUUAGUAUCCAUCUUUGGAAUUGGACAUCGGUGAUCGCCAUUGACCUGAACACACAUUUUGUGGUGGUGCCAUUCUCCUCCUGAUAAGGUAGAGAGAAUAUCAUGGAAUCUCAGCAAUGCCAAUUUAUCACCAGCGUCCAGACAAAUAGGCUCGAGGUGGUAUGUCUCCACCCUGGUGAGCAUUGUGUUCCUGAGCCACAUGGCAGAAAACAACUUUGGAAACUACUGGAACAAAGAGAUUUUUUUGAGUUCCCGUCCCAAAAUGAUAUCCUGUACCAGAGAAAAAUUUCCAUCCUUGGGCGAAUAGAACAUCAGCAAAAGAUCUGCUCCAUCAGGAAGCCUACAUGUCACCUCCUCCUCCCUCCCUUUCCCUUAAAGAGGAGAUGCCGUGAGCUGACUCUACCAGAGUUCAUGGCAUCAGCAAAAGGCAACAAAGUGCAGGAAGUAAAUGAAAAAGGUACCAAGGGCUUCUCUAGAGGACCAGCUCAUCUGACUUAUACAUCAGAUAUUAACUCACCUGUGAAUUCUGCCCCCACGGGGUGAUUGUUUGAAGGCAUUAAGCAAGUCUGAGGAGACAGAAAAUGCUGCCCCAUUUGAUGACACACGUAAGGGGACACGUGGAGGCUGAGAUGGACAAGACUGGCGGUACCUCGCUUUUGUCCUCACGACUCUGGAUGUCUUAGGGUUCUCGGAGGAUACCCACUACCAAAAGGACCUUGGACCAGAGGAUGUUACUGACAUUAGAGAGAACAACAUCACCAGUACAGAACAUUAUCAGCCAGAUGGCGUGGGAUCACAUAUAUGAUGUGUCCCCUCCCUGUCGUGGAAACGACCAACAUGAAAUAGUCAAAGACAUGCUUCAGCAACUGCAAAUGAGCAGCCCCGGGAGGCACCCAGAGACUCCAAAAAGCACAGCAGAAGGAACUGGAAGGAGAUUAGGAACCUGUUUAGAAGGUUUGUUGCUGUUUCCCCACCCCAAGAACAAAAGACACAGCAUCCAGGGUUAAAGAUGAGGCCCAGGCCCAUGGUUCCUAAACCAUUGGUCCGUGUUCAGCCUGGUGUGACUUAACAUCCCCGGAGAAGCCAGUCCAGAACUUCAAAGGAGGUGUACCCCAAACCUGUUGUUACCUGCCAGACACCUCUAGCAACCAGGUCGCCUUCUCUGUACCUUCCUCUCCUGCAGAGUAUGAGCAACCAUCUCCCCCACUGACGAGCAUUGUUCCUCCAGCACUAGUGCCUGGACAGAGAAGCCAGCCACAUAACCACCCUCCUCGGUAGUCCAUGUGACAGAACCUCCUUCCUUCAGACCCCAAGGGGCUGCUGUCCCAUCCAAGGAGUAUUCACACGGAUAAAUUUUAUGUCCCCGUGGGGGAUUCCUUGGCUUUAAUUGAGUGAAGGUCUACGAUCGUUCUGUCUGCUGUGAAUGAGGCUGCUGGCCUUGGUCACUGGGAAUGCAGACCUCUGUGCAAGCUCAGCAAUUUCUCUGGAAAAAGAGUUCCUGAACCAUACCUGUAGCCAAGACCAAGCUGCUAUGACAGUCUACACUGCUCCACCUGUGACGAUGAUGACGCAGUGUGUCCUCAUAAUGAGGACUGGACUCCCUGAAACCUUUCCCAGCUGCUCUCGGGCCCAGGAGACAGGAACGAGGUGUUCUAGGAAACAUCCUCAAUGUUUUCCAGCCUUGUCCCUUAUGAUCAUCUCAGGAAGAUGUGAGAAGAGGCGAUUGCGAUCCAUUUCUUUCCCUCAGAAACUUUUUGGAGGAAGCGGCAUUCACACCGGCCCCAUGUUUGGCUCCCUGAACCCAUGUUGGAUGUCUCAUGACCACCACACAAGAUGUGUCUGCUGAAGAGCAUUAUUGAGUGUCUGGAAUCUGAAGAACAGCUGAUGAGCUCUCUUGAAUGUCUGGCUGGGAGGGACACAGCCCAGCAGCCCUUGGCUUCUUGUGGGAGACUUGACCACAAUAUGUCAGAGCUUUGGACCCCGUGUAUUCAAACACAAGUCACUUGAAGAAACUUUAACAGUGUAAUUAUCUCUAUAAUUUAAACAA
This is a long non-coding RNA of Microtus oregoni (creeping vole), 2236 nucleotides long. RefSeq lists it as uncharacterized. The record is from RefSeq and is a predicted model, not a curated record. The transcript has 7 exons. Lineage: Eukaryota; Metazoa; Chordata; Mammalia; Rodentia; Cricetidae.